Molecule: ribosomal RNA, 253 nt
Filed under: uncultured bacterium
Lineage: Bacteria
Description: partial 16S ribosomal RNA
Rfam family: Bacterial small subunit ribosomal RNA
Source: RNAcentral
UACAGAGGUCUCAAGCGUUGUUCGGAUUCAUUGGGCGUAAAGGGUGCGUAGGCGGCGCGGUAAGUCGGGUGUGAAAUCUCGGAGCUUAACUCCGAAACUGCAUUCGAUACUGCUGUGCUCGAGGACUGGAGAGGAGACUGGAAUUUACGGUGUAGCGGUGAAAUGCGUAGAUAUCGUAAGGAAGACCAGUGGCGAAGGCGGGUCUCUGGACAGUUCCUGACGCUGAGGCACGAAGGCCAGGGGAGCAAACGGG